GAGCGAAAGCGACGUUCAACCGCAAAACAAGCAGAGGGGGCUUAGUGGUGGGGUGACUGCGUACCUUUUGUAUAAUGGGUCAGCGACUUAUAUUCUGUAGCAAGGUUAACCGAAUAGGGGAGCCGGAGGGAAACCGAGUCUUAAUUGGGCGUUAAGUUGCAGGGUAUAGACCCGAAACCCGGUGAUCUAGCCAUGGGCAGGUUGAAGGUUGGGUAACACUAACUGGAGGACCGAACCGACUAAUGUUGAAAAAUUAGCGGAUGACCUGUGGCUGGGGGUGAAAGGCCAAUCAAACCGGGAGAUAGCUGGUUCUCCCCGAAAGCUAUUUAGGUAGCGCCUCGUGAAUUCAUCUCCGGGGGUAGAGCACUGUUUCGGCUAGGGGGCCAUCCCGGCUUACCAACCCGAUGCAAACUGCGAAUACCGGAGAAUGUUAUCACGGGAGACACACGGCGGGUGCUAACGUCCGUCGUGAAGAGGGAAACAACCCAGACCGCCAGCUAAGGUCCCAAAGUCAUGGUUAAGUGGGAAACGAUGUGGGAAGGCCCAGACAGCCAGGAUGUUGGCUUAGAAGCAGCCAUCAUUUAAAGAAAGCGUAAUAGCUCACUGGUCGAGUCGGCCUGCGCGGAAGAUGUAACGGGGCUAAACCAU
RNAcentral lists this ribosomal RNA (648 nucleotides) under Salmonella enterica. RNAcentral's name for it is "partial 23S ribosomal RNA". It matches the Rfam family "Bacterial large subunit ribosomal RNA", at positions 536 to 1190 of the family's 2925-position model. The record is from RNAcentral. RNAcentral also lists the same sequence under 1 other name. Lineage: Bacteria; Pseudomonadati; Pseudomonadota; Gammaproteobacteria; Enterobacterales; Enterobacteriaceae.